CAAGUCGAGGGGUAACAUUGUGCUUGCGCAGAUGACGACCGGCGCCCCGGGUGCGGUAACGCGUAUAGAACCUACCUUUUACAGAGGGAUAGCCUUUAGAAAUGAAGAUUAAUACCUUAGUAGUAUUGCGACUUGGCAUCGAGUUGUAAUUAAAGAUUUAUCGGUAAAAGAUGGCUAUGCGUCCUAUUAGUUAGAUGGGAAGGUAACGGCUUACCAUGACUAUGAUAGGUAGGGGUCCUGAGAGGGAGAUCCCCCACACUGGUACUGAGACACGGACCAGACUCCUACGGGAGGCAGCAGUGAGGAAUAUUGGGCAAUGGAGGCAACUCUGACCCAGCCAUGUCGCGUGCAGGAAGACUGCCCUAUGGGUUGUAAACUGCUUUUAUACAGGAAGAAACACUAGUACGUGUACUAGCUUGACGGUACUGUAAGAAUAAGGACCGGCUAACUCCGUGCCAGCAGCCGCGGUAAUACGGAGGGUCCGAGCGUUAUCCGGAAUCAUUGGGUUUAAAGGGUCCGCAGGCGGUCAAUUAAGUCAGAGGUGAAAUCCCAUAGCUUAACUAUGGAACUGCCUUUGAUACUGGUUGACUUGAGUCAUA
Molecule: ribosomal RNA, 599 nt
Filed under: uncultured bacterium
Lineage: Bacteria
Description: bacterial SSU rRNA
Rfam family: Bacterial small subunit ribosomal RNA
Source: RNAcentral